AUGGCCGGCAGCCCAGCGCCGUUGCAUAAGAUGGCCGCCAGCUCAGUGCCACAGCACAAGAUGGCCGCAAGCACAGAGCCACUACCCAGGAUGCCCGCCAGUCCAGCACCACUGCCCAAAAUGGCCACCGGUCCAGCGCCACGGCCAAAGAUGGCCGCCAGUCCAGAGUCAUGGCACAAGAUGGCUGCUUGCCCAACGACUCUGCACAGGAUGACAGCCACAGCUGACCUUCCAGAGUUGAGUCAGGUUCCCGUGAACCCUCCAGAGUCGAGUCAGUUUCCCGUUGACCCUCCAGAGUUGAGUCAGUGUCUGGUUGUCCCUCCAGAGUCAAGUCAGGUUCCUGGUGACCCUCCAGAGUCGAGUCAGGUUCCUGUUGACCAUCCAGAGUCGAGUCACGUUCCAGUUGAUCCUCCUGAAUCAAGUCAGAUUCCUGUUGACCUUCCAGAGUCGAGUCAGGUGCCCACUGACUUUCCAGAGUUGAGUCAGGUUCCGGUUGACCCUCCAGAGUCGAGUCAGGUGCUUGUGGACCCUCCAGAGUCGAGUCAGGUGCUCAAGGACCCUCCAAAGUCAGGGUUAGUCACCGUUGACCUUCCAGAGUCAGAGUUAGUCACCGUUGACCUUCCAGAGUCAGGGUUAGUCACCGUUGACCUUCCAGAGUCAGGGCUAGUUCCUGUUGACCUUCUAGAGUCGAGUCAAAUUCCAGUUGACUAUCCAGAGUGGAGUCAGACUCCUGUUGACCAUCCAGAGUCAAGUCACGUUCCAGUUGAUCCUCCUGAAUCAAGUCAGAUUCCUGUUGACCUUCCAGAGUCGAGUCAGGUGCCCUUUGACUUUCUUGAGUUGAGUCAGGUUCCGGUUGGCCCUUCAGAGUCGAUUCAGGUGCUCAUGGACCCUCCAGAGUGGAGUCAGGUGCUCAUUGACCCUCCAGAAUCGAGUCAGGUGCUCGUGGACCUUCCAGAGUCAGGGUUAGUCACCUUUGACCUUCCAGAGUCAGGGUUAGUCACCUUUGACCUUCCAGAAUUAUGGCUAGUCACCGUUGACCUUCCAGAGUCAGGACUAGUCACCAUGGACUUUCCAGAGACAAGGCUAGUCACCGUUGACCUUUCAGGGUCAAGUCAAGUCACUGGUGAUCUUCAAGGACAGAGUCAAGUCACUGGUGAUCUUCAAGGACAGAGUCAAGUCACUGGUGAUCUUCAAGGACAGAGUAAAGUCACUGGUGAUUUUAAAGGACAGAGUCAAGUCACUGGUGAUCUUCAAGGACAGAGUCAAGUCACUGGUGAUCUUCAAGGACAGAGUCAAGUCACUGGUGAUCUUCAAGGACAGAGUCAAGUCACUGGUGAUCUUCAAGGACAGAGUCAAGUCACUGGUGAUCUUCAAGGACAGAGUCAAGUCACUGGUGAUUUUCAAGGACUGAGUCAAGUCACCGGUGAUCUUCAUGAACAAAGGCAAGUCACUGGUGAUUUUCAAGGACUGAGUCAAGUCACCGGUGAUCUUCAUGAACAAAGGCAAGUCACCACUGAUCUUCAUGAACAAAGGUAA
Molecule: long non-coding RNA, 1536 nt
Filed under: Carassius auratus (goldfish)
Lineage: Eukaryota; Metazoa; Chordata; Actinopteri; Cypriniformes; Cyprinidae
Description: lncRNA (ENSCARG00000048760.1)
Source: RNAcentral